CCUACGGGAGGCUGCAGUGAGGCAUAUUGGUCAAUGGGCGCGAGCCUGAACCAGCCAAGUAGCGUGAAGGAUGACUGCCCUGCGGGUUGUAAACUUCUUUUAUAAAGGAAUAAAGUGAGGCACGUGUGCCUUUUUGUAUGUACUUUAUGAAUAAUGAUCGGCUGACUCCGUGCCAGCAGCCGCGGUAAUACGGAGGAUACGAGCGUUAUCCGGAUUUAUUGGGUUUAAAGGGAGCGUAGAUGGGUUGUUAAGUCAGUUGUGAAAGUUUGCGGCUCAACCGUAAGAUUGCAAUUGAUACUGGCGGGCUUGAGUACAGGUGAGGUAGGCGGAAUGCGUGGUGUAGCGGUGAAAUGCUUAGAUAUCACGAAGAACUCCGAUUGCGAAGGCAGCGUACUAAACCGCCACUGACAUUGAUGCUCGAAAGUGUGGGUAUCGAACAGGAUUAGAUACCCUAGUAGUC
Molecule: ribosomal RNA, 460 nt
Filed under: uncultured bacterium
Lineage: Bacteria
Description: partial 16S ribosomal RNA
Rfam family: Bacterial small subunit ribosomal RNA
Source: RNAcentral